CCUACGGGAGGCAGCAGUGGGGAAUUUUCCGCAAUGGGCGAAAGCCUGACGGAGCAACGCCGCGUGUGGGAGGAAGGUUUUAGGACUGUAAACCACUUUUCUCAGGGAAGAAGAACUGACGGUACCUGAGGAAUCAGCAUCGGCUAAUUCCGUGCCAGCAGCCGCGGUAAUACGGGAGAUGCAAGCGUUAUCCGGAAUUAUUGGGCGUAAAGCGUCCGCAGGCGGUUACACAAGUCUGUCGUUAAAGUACACAGCUUAACUGUGUGUGAGCGAUGGAAACUGUGUGACUAGAGUGCGGUAGGGGUAGGGGGAAUUCUCGGUGUAGCGGUGAAAUGCGUAGAUAUCGGGAAGAACACCAGCGGCGAAAGCGCCCUACUGGGCCGCAACUGACGCUCAUGGACGAAAGCUAGGGGAGCGAAAGGGAUUAGAUACCCCUGUAGUCCUAGCCGUAAACGAUGGACACUAGGUGUUGUCUGUAUCGACCCGGACAGUGCCGUAGCCAACGCGUUAAGUGUCCCGCCUGGGGAGUACGCACGCAAGUGUGAAACUCAAAGGAAUUGACGG
RNAcentral lists this ribosomal RNA (564 nucleotides) under uncultured cyanobacterium. Its description in RNAcentral is "bacterial SSU rRNA". It matches the Rfam family "Bacterial small subunit ribosomal RNA", at positions 338 to 916 of the family's 1533-position model. The record is from RNAcentral. Lineage: Bacteria; Bacillati; Cyanobacteriota.